UGAACUUAGAGCUAGACAAUC
RNAcentral lists this non-coding RNA (21 nucleotides) under Caenorhabditis elegans. The record is from RNAcentral. Lineage: Eukaryota; Metazoa; Nematoda; Chromadorea; Rhabditida; Rhabditidae.